Molecule: ribosomal RNA, 249 nt
Filed under: uncultured prokaryote
Description: partial 16S ribosomal RNA
Rfam family: Bacterial small subunit ribosomal RNA
Source: RNAcentral
UACGGAGGAUGCAAGCGUUAUCCGGAUUUAUUGGGUUUAAAGGGUGCGUAGGCGGAUAUGUAAGUCAGCGGUGAAACUCACAGGCUCAACUUGUGCCGUGCCGUUGAAACUGUGUAUCUGGAAUGCGGAUGCUGUGGGAGGAAUGUGUAGUGUAGCGGUGAAAUGCAUAGAUAUUACACAGAACACCGAUUGCGAAGGCAUCUCACAAAGCCGUUAUUGACGCUGAGGCACGAAAGUGUGGGGAUCAAA